Long non-coding RNA from Musa acuminata AAA Group (dessert banana), 727 nucleotides. RefSeq lists it as uncharacterized. The record is from RefSeq and is a predicted model, not a curated record. Lineage: Eukaryota; Viridiplantae; Streptophyta; Magnoliopsida; Zingiberales; Musaceae. The transcript is spliced from 5 exons.
CCCGUCUCGAUUAGGGUUAUAAUUAAAAUCCAUCUACACCGUCGAAGCGUUACGCGCCCGAAUCACAGCCCUUAUUUGGGUCAGGGGACGUCUCCGUCUCUGUAAAUCCCGGCGAAGAUCGACGCCUAUUUCGCAGCCGCGAUCGCGUCGCCGCCUUCUUUCCUGUCGUCCUUUCGGUUGGCCUCCCUCCCGUGCCUCCGCCUCCGCCUCCGCCUCUGGUCGGGGACUUCGCUCAGCUUCCUGGUUCUGGUUAUCUGAUGGCUGGCGGUAAUUUCUUGGGAAGAGUCAUCAGCUACGUCGUCAACGAGUUGGUCGUGGAAGGCCUCGCUAACAACCGUGCCUUUCAAAGGUUUGCCGUGAGAACUUCUAAAGCUAUAGAAGAUGUUUCUACUAAAGCUGCUCAGGCAAGAGAACGACUUGUUGCGCAACUGAAGGAUGCCACAAAAGAUGAUGAUUCCUUCAGGAGGCCUUGAAUACUUAAGAAGGUUCUUGUUAGAUCCAUGAAGUCAUAUUGUGAAGCUGUGUUAUGCCAGUAGACCAUGAUUUGUGCAGCCGCAGAAAGAAAUGCUUGUGGUGCUAUACCUGCUCGAUAGUUUUGUUCGUAUCACGGUCUCUUUACUGUAAUAGGUGCAAUAAAGUGUCAGAAAUUGAUGUAGUAAUACAAGUUCUUUUGCAACAUAAGAUGGUGGCAAUGAAAUUGCUACCAUGUGUUAUUCUUUUUCUUUUC